GAUUAAGUUAUUAAGGGCGCACGGUGGAUGCCUUGGCACUAGAAGCCGAUGAAGGACGUUACUAACGACGAUAUGCUUUGGGGAGCUGUAAGUAAGCUUUGAUCCAGAGAUUUCCGAAUGGGGAAACCCAGCAUGAGUUAUGUCAUGUUAUCGAUAUGUGAAUACAUAGCAUAUCAGAAGGCACACCCGGAGAACUGAAACAUCUUAGUACCCGGAGGAAGAGAAAGAAAAUUCGAUUCCCUUAGUAGCGGCGAGCGAAUCGGGAAGAGCCCAAACCAACAAGCUUGCUUGUUGGGGUUGUAGGACACUCUAUACGGAGUUACAAAGGACGACAUUAGACGAAUCAUCUGGAAAGAUGAAUCAAAGAAGGUAAUAAUCCUGUAGUCGAAAAUGUUGUCUCUCUUGAGUGGAUCCUGAGUACGACGGAGCACGUGAAAUUCCGUCGGAAUCUGGGAGGACCAUCUCCUAAGGCUAAAUACUCUCUAGUGACCGAUAGUGAACCAGUACCGUGAGGGAAAGGUGAAAAGCACCCCGGAAGGGGAGUGAAAUAGAACCUGAAACCGUGUGCUUACAAGUAGUCAGAGCCCGUUAAUGGGUGAUGGCGUGCCUUUUGUAGAAUGAACCGGCGAGUUACGAUUUGAUGCAAGGUUAAGCAGUAAAUGUGGAGCCGUAGCGAAAGCGAGUCUGAAUAGGGCGUUUAGUAUUUGGUCGUAGACCCGAAACCAGGUGAUCUACCCUUGGUCAGGUUGAAGUUCAGGUAACACUGAAUGGAGGACCGAACCGACUUACGUUGAAAAGUGAGCGGAUGAACUGAGGGUAGCGGAGAAAUUCCAAUCGAACCUGGAGAUAGCUGGUUCUCUCCGAAAUAGCUUUAGGGCUAGCCUCAAGUGAUGAUUAUUGGAGGUAGAGCACUGUUUGGACGAGGGGCCCCUCUCGGGUUACCGAAUUCAGACAAACUCCGAAUGCCAAUUAAUUUAACUUGGGAGUCAGAACAUGGGUGAUAAGGUCCGUGUUCGAAAGGGAAACAGCCCAGACCACCAGCUAAGGUCCCAAAAUAUAUGUUAAGUGGAAAAGGAUGUGGCGUUGCCCAGACAACUAGGAUGUUGGCUUAGAAGCAGCCAUCAUUUAAAGAGUGCGUAAUAGCUCACUAGUCGAGUGACACUGCGCCGAAAAUGUACCGGGGCUAAACAUAUUACCGAAGCUGUGGAUUGUCCUUUGGACAAUGGUAGGAGAGCGUUCUAAGGGCGUUGAAGCAUGAUCGUAAGGACAUGUGGAGCGCUUAGAAGUGAGAAUGCCGGUGUGAGUAGCGAAAGACGGGUGAGAAUCCCGUCCACCGAUUGACUAAGGUUUCCAGAGGAAGGCUCGUCCGCUCUGGGUUAGUCGGGUCCUAAGCUGAGGCCGACAGGCGUAGGCGAUGGAUAACAGGUUGAUAUUCCUGUACCACCUAUAAUCGUUUUAAUCGAUGGGGGGACGCAGUAGGAUAGGCGAAGCGUGCGAUUGGAUUGCACGUCUAAGCAGUAAGGCUGAGUAUUAGGCAAAUCCGGUACUCGUUAAGGCUGAGCUGUGAUGGGGAGAAGACAUUGUGUCUUCGAGUCGUUGAUUUCACACUGCCGAGAAAAGCCUCUAGAUAGAAAAUAGGUGCCCGUACCGCAAACCGACACAGGUAGUCAAGAUGAGAAUUCUAAGGUGAGCGAGCGAACUCUCGUUAAGGAACUCGGCAAAAUGACCCCGUAACUUCGGGAGAAGGGGUGCUCUUUAGGGUUAACGCCCAGAAGAGCCGCAGUGAAUAGGCCCAAGCGACUGUUUAUCAAAAACACAGGUCUCUGCUAAACCGUAAGGUGAUGUAUAGGGGCUGACGCCUGCCCGGUGCUGGAAGGUUAAGAGGAGUGGUUAGCUUCUGCGAAGCUACGAAUCGAAGCCCCAGUAAACGGCGGCCGUAACUAUAACGGUCCUAAGGUAGCGAAAUUCCUUGUCGGGUAAGUUCCGACCCGCACGAAAGGCGUAACGAUUUGGGCACUGUCUCAACGAGAGACUCGGUGAAAUCAUAGUACCUGUGAAGAUGCAGGUUACCCGCGACAGGACGGAAAGACCCCGUGGAGCUUUACUGUAGCCUGAUAUUGAAAUUCGGCACAGCUUGUACAGGAUAGGUAGGAGCCUUUGAAACGUGAGCGCUAGCUUACGUGGAGGCGCUGGUGGGAUACUACCCUAGCUGUGUUGGCUUUCUAACCCGCACCACUUAUCGUGGUGGGAGACAGUGUCAGGCGGGCAGUUUGACUGGGGCGGUCGCCUCCUAAAAGGUAACGGAGGCGCUCAAAGGUUCCCUCAGAAUGGUUGGAAAUCAUUCAUAGAGUGUAAAGGCAUAAGGGAGCUUGACUGCGAGACCUACAAGUCGAGCAGGGUCGAAAGACGGACUUAGUGAUCCGGUGGUUCCGCAUGGAAGGGCCAUCGCUCAACGGAUAAAAGCUACCCCGGGGAUAACAGGCUUAUCUCCCCCAAGAGUUCACAUCGACGGGGAGGUUUGGCACCUCGAUGUCGGCUCAUCGCAUCCUGGGGCUGUAGUCGGUCCCAAGGGUUGGGCUGUUCGCCCAUUAAAGCGGUACGCGAGCUGGGUUCAGAACGUCGUGAGACAGUUCGGUCCCUAUCCGUCGUGGGCGUAGGAAAUUUGAGAGGAGCUGUCCUUAGUACGAGAGGACCGGGAUGGACAUACCUCUGGUGUACCAGUUGUCGUGCCAACGGCAUAGCUGGGUAGCUAUGUGUGGACGGGAUAAGUGCUGAAAGCAUCUAAGCAUGAAGCCCCCCUCAAGAUGAGAUUUCCCAACUUCGGUUAUAAGAUCCCUCAAAGAUGAUGAGGUUAAUAGGUUCGAGGUGGAAGCAUGGUGACAUGUGGAGCUGACGAAUACUAAUCGAUCGAAGACUUAAUCAA
Molecule: ribosomal RNA, 2923 nt
Filed under: Staphylococcus aureus
Lineage: Bacteria; Bacillati; Bacillota; Bacilli; Caryophanales; Staphylococcaceae
Description: 23S ribosomal RNA
Rfam family: Bacterial large subunit ribosomal RNA
Source: RNAcentral